CGAAGGGUGCAAGCGUUACUCGGAAUUACUGGGCGUAAAGCGUGCGUAGGUGGUUUGUUAAGUCUGAUGUGAAUGCCCUGGGCUCAACCUGGGAAUGGCAUUGGAUACUGGCGAGCUAGAGUGCGGUAGAGGGCAGUGGAAUUCCCGGUGUAGCAGUGAAAUGCGUAGAGAUCGGGAGGAACAUCUGUGGCGAAGGCGACUGCCUGGACCAGCACUGACACUGAGGCACGAAAGCGUGGGGAGCAAACAGGAUUAGAUACCCUGGUAGUCCACGCCCUAAACGAUGCGAACUGGAUGUUGGGUGCAACUAGGCACUCAGUAUCGAAGCUAACGCGUUAAGUUCGCCGCCUGGGGAGUACGGUCGCAAGACUG
Molecule: ribosomal RNA, 372 nt
Filed under: uncultured organism
Description: bacterial SSU rRNA
Rfam family: Bacterial small subunit ribosomal RNA
Source: RNAcentral